GAACUUCAAGGGCAAAAUCGCUGAAAAGUGAUGACGCAAAGCUAUAGGGGCCUCCGUUUAAUAACGAAGUCAGCCAGCUACCAUC
This 85-nucleotide non-coding RNA is filed under the name Bacillus sp. (in: firmicutes). Its description in RNAcentral is "Bacillus sp. c-di-GMP sequence". It matches the Rfam family "c-di-GMP-I riboswitch aptamer". Rfam says of the family: GEMM was predicted in a large-scale screen for bacterial structured RNA regulatory elements. Genes associated with GEMM are involved in a diverse array of functions, including chemotaxis regulation, signal transduction, secretion and chitin. The record is from RNAcentral. Lineage: Bacteria; Bacillati; Bacillota; Bacilli; Caryophanales; Bacillaceae. RNAcentral also lists the same sequence under 1 other name.